This 892-nucleotide small RNA is filed under the name Pongo abelii (Sumatran orangutan). RNAcentral's name for it is "retained intron". The record is from RNAcentral. Lineage: Eukaryota; Metazoa; Chordata; Mammalia; Primates; Hominidae.
GGAGGUGCUCGUCAGCCACCUGGCAUCUUACAACACAUGGGCUUUACAAGGUCCUGUGAGUGGAGAGGCAUGGGGUGUUCUGGGCUAGCUGAGUGUGGAGGCUGGGUGGCUCUGAUGCUAGCCAGUCACUACGCUCUAGGCUCAUGCCUUUCUACCUUUGACUUCUCCAGCAGAAGUCUUGAGUUCAAUCUCAUUGCCCUGGCUUGGGUCACAUGUCUAUCCAUGAACCAAUCACUAGACUGGGUGGGGAAAGCUCUGAUUUGCCAAGUUCAGGUCAUGUGUCUCACUGGGUAAGAGCAGAGGAGGAUCACCCCCAGGGAAGACCAGCGUGCUCUUUCAGAAGAGUGGGCCAAUCGCUGGAUGGCUCUUUGCACCACUCACUCCUGUUCUCUGCUAGGGCUGCUGGGACUCACAAGGGGUAGGUUGUGGCAGCUGCCCUGUUUUGGGUUCUGACUUGGCUUGUGUCCCUGCAGGGAUUGAGUUUGUAGCUGCCCAGCUCAAGUCCAUGGUGCUGACCUUGGGCCUGAUUGACCUGCGCCUGACAGUGGAGCAGGCCGUGCUGCUGUCACGCCUGGAGGAGGAGUACCAGAAAUCAAAAUCAAGGACCAGCAGAAGUAUUGUCAAGUAGGCCUGGCGUGGUGGUUCACACCUGUAAUCCCAGCACUUUGGGUGGCCGAGGAGGGUGAAUCAUUUGAGGUCAGGAGUUUGAGACCAGCCUGGGCAACAUGGCAAAACCCUCUCUCUACAAAAAUACAAAAAUUAGCGCCUGUAGUCUCAGCUACUUGGGAAGCUGACGUGGGAGGAUUGCUUGAACCUGGGAGGUGGAGGUUGCAGUGAGCCAAGAUUGUGCCACUGCAUUCUAGCCUGGGUGACAGAGUGAGACCCUGUCUCA